GACGAACGCUGGCGGCGUGCCUAAUACAUGCAAGUAGGACGCCGUUGCGAACGGGUGAGUGACGCGUAGGUAAAUCCAUCUUAGAGGGGGGUAACUAUUGGAAAAGAUAGCUAAUACCGCAUCAUAGUAGAUGGACCUGCGUUGUAUUAGCUAGUAGGUAGGGUAAUGGCCUACCGAGGCAACCAUACAUAGCCGACCUGGAAGGGGUAUUGGCCACAACUGGAACGAGACAAGGCCCAGACUCCUACGGGAGGCAGCAGGAGGGAAUCUUCGGCAAUGGGGGGAACCCUUACCGAGCAACGCCGCGGGAGUGAAGAAGGUUUUCGGAGCGGAAAGCUCUGUUGUUAAGGAAGCGGUACUUAACCAGAAAGGGACGGCUAACUACGUGCCAGCAGCCGCGGUAAUAC
Molecule: ribosomal RNA, 407 nt
Filed under: uncultured bacterium
Lineage: Bacteria
Description: partial 16S ribosomal RNA
Rfam family: Bacterial small subunit ribosomal RNA
Source: RNAcentral